CACCACGCCCAGCUAAUUUUUUGUAUUUUUAGUAGAGACGGGGUUUCACCAUGUUAGCCAGGAUGGUCUCGAUCUCCUGACUUCGUGAUCCGCCCGCCUCAGCCUCCCAAAGUGCUGGGAUUACAGGCUUGAGCCACCGCGCCUGGCCGGGGUGCCCCCUCAGUUUUUAAAAGAGUAGGCAGAAAUACAAACCAGAAAGUGUGGGAGGAUCACUUGAGCCCAAUAGGUGGAGGCUGCAGUGAGCCAAGAUGGCACACCUGCACUCCAUUCCUUGUGGGCUGGGUGGAAAUUAGGAAGAGAAAUUAAUUCUAAGUGGAGCAAUGCAGCUAGGCUUAAUCAGAGAGGUAACACCUAAACGAAGCAGUGAAGUAAUAGCAAUGACGUGUUAUUUAUUGCAGCAUUGUUUGUAAUAGCAAAAUACUGGAAAUAAUCUACAUGUCCGGCAAAAGGACCAAUAAAUUAUGAUACAUAUAUACAGUAGAAUACGAUGCAUCCCUACAAAAGAAUGAGGAAUCAUUUUGUAUACUGAUGAAAUAAUCGCUAAGAAAUGCUGUUAGUUAAGUGAAAUAAAAAACAAGGUGCACAACAUACCACCAUUUAUGUGAAAAAAUAAAAAGCAUGCAUUUGCUUAUGUGUACUUGGAAUGAAUACCUCUGAGGGGAUCUAUUAGAAACCAUUAACAGCAGUUGCUGUUAAUAUGUCUCCCAUAUUUUUCUUUUUUGUUUUUUUUGUUUUUUUUUGAGACGGAGUCUUGCUCUAUCUCCCAGGCUGGAGUGCAGUGGCGAGAUCUUGGCUCACUGCAAGCUCCGCCUCCCAGGUUCACGCCAUUCUCCUGCCUCAGCCUCCCGAGUAGCUGGGACUACAGGCGCCUGCCACCACGCCUGGCUAGGUAUCCAGGCUUAUGGUGGCUUUGACCAAGGAGAGGAGAAGAACUUGCAGGCUUUUGAGAAAGAUGGGAGAUGAGGAGGUGGACAGAAAUUUCAAAGUUCGAUUGGGGGAUAUCCUGACAAAGCCACAAUCGGAGCCGCUUCUUCAUGAAGUCUCUGAUCUCCCCAAAUGGAUGUAAGCUUUCUCUCUGUGCAUCCCAUGGUGCUUGGUUCCGGCUUCUCAUGCCGUAUCCUGCUUUGUAGAACCAUCAUCAGAGAGUGUUAAAAGAGCUUCAACGAAUACCUUCUUUCAGGGCACCAGGCCUCACUGUUGUACAUAUGGUUUCACUUAAUCCUCCAAUACUCCUAGAGUUUUAUGUUCUUGUCAUUCUGCCUCCCUGUCAGUGGACAGUA
This 1280-nucleotide long non-coding RNA is filed under the name Homo sapiens (human). RNAcentral's name for it is "non-protein coding lnc-FAM180B-2:1". Lineage: Eukaryota; Metazoa; Chordata; Mammalia; Primates; Hominidae. The record is from RNAcentral.